CUGAUGCCGUCGAGCCAAGAAAAGUUUCUAAGUUUAGCUAAUGUUGCCCGUACCGUAAACCGACACAGGUGGGUGGGAUGAGUAUUCUAAGGCGCGUGGAAGAACUCUCUUUAAGGAACUCUGCAAAAUAGCACCGUAUCUUCGGUAUAAGGUGUGGUUCGCUUCGUAUUAGGAUUUACUCCGAAAGCGAAGAAACUUACAACAAAGAGUCCCUCCCGACUGUUUACCAAAAACACAGCACUCUGCUAACUCGUAAGAGGAUGUAUAGGGUGUGACGCCUGCCCGGUGCUCGAAGGUUAAUUGAUGGGGUUAGCAUUAGCGAAGCUCUUGAUCGAAGCCCGAGUAAACGGCGGCCGUAACUAUAACGGUCCUAAGGUAGCGAAAUUCCUUGUCGGUUAAAUACCGACCUGCAUGAAUGGCGUAACGAGAUGGGAGCUGUCUCAAAGAGGGAUCCAGUGAAAUUGUAGUGGAGGUGAAAAUUCCUCCUACCCGCGGCAAGACGGAAAGACCCCGUGGACCUUUACUACAGCUUGACACUGCUAUUUGGAUAAGAAUGUGCAGGAUAGGUGGGAGGCUUUGAGUAUAUGACGCCAGUUGUAUAUGAGCCGUUGUUGAGAUACCACUCUUUCUUAUUUGGGUAGCUAACCAGCUUGAGUUAUCCUCAAGUGGGACAAUGUCUGGUGGGUAGUUUGACUGGGGCGGUCGCCUCCCAAAUAAUAACGGAGGCUUACAAAGGUUGGCUCAGAACGGUUGGAAAUCGUUCGUAGAGUAUAAAGGUAUAAGCCAGCUUAACUGCAAGACAUACAAGUCAAGCAGAGACGAAAGUCGGUCUUAGUGAUCCGGUGGUUCUGUGUGGAAGGGCCAUCGCUCAAAGGAUAAAAGGUACCCCGGGGAUAACAGGCUGAUCUCCCCCAAGAGCUCACAUCGACGGGGAGGUUUGGCACCUCGAUGUCGGCUCAUCGCAUCCUGGGGCUGGAGCAGGUCCCAAGGGUAUGGCUGUUCGCCAUUUAAAGCGGUACGCGAGCUGGGUUCAGAACGUCGUGAGACAGUUCGGUCCCUAUCUGCCGUGGGCGUAAGAAGAUUGAAGAGAUUUGACCCUAGUACGAGAGGACCGGGUUGAACAAACCACUGGUGUAGCUGUUGUUCUGCCAAGAGCAUCGCAGCGUAGCUAAGUUUGGAACGGAUAAACGCUGAAAGCAUCUAAGCGUGAAGCCAACUCUAAGAUGAAUCUUCUCUAAGCUCUCUAGAAGACUACUAGUUUGAUAGGCUGGGUGUGUAAUGGAUGAAAGUCCUUUAGCUGACCAGUACUAAUAGAGCGUUUGGCUUAUCUUAUUUAAGCAU
Molecule: ribosomal RNA, 1341 nt
Filed under: Campylobacter lari
Lineage: Bacteria; Pseudomonadati; Campylobacterota; Epsilonproteobacteria; Campylobacterales; Campylobacteraceae
Description: partial 23S ribosomal RNA
Rfam family: Bacterial large subunit ribosomal RNA
Source: RNAcentral